Molecule: transfer RNA, 73 nt
Filed under: Pithovirus LCPAC104
Lineage: Varidnaviria; Bamfordvirae; Nucleocytoviricota; Megaviricetes; Pimascovirales; Pithoviridae
Description: tRNA-Lys
Rfam family: tRNA
About the family: Transfer RNA (tRNA) molecules are approximately 80 nucleotides in length. Their secondary structure includes four short double-helical elements and three loops (D, anti-codon, and T loops).
Source: RNAcentral
GGACCAGUAACUCAGUUGGUAGAGUGUCGGGCUUUUAACCCGAAAGCCACGGGUUCGAACCCCGUCUGGUCCA